Molecule: ribosomal RNA, 484 nt
Filed under: uncultured bacterium
Lineage: Bacteria
Description: partial 16S ribosomal RNA
Rfam family: Bacterial small subunit ribosomal RNA
Source: RNAcentral
AUUGAACGCUGGCGGCAGGCCUAACACAUGCAAGUCGAGCGGAUGAAGGGAGCUUGCUCCUGGAUUCAGCGGCGGACGGGUGAGUAAUGCCUAGGAAUCUGCCUGGUAGUGGGGGAUAACGUCCGGAAACGGGCGCUAAUACCGCAUACGUCCUGAGGGAGAAAGUGGGGGAUCUUCGGACCUCACGCUAUCAGAUGAGCCUAGGUCGGAUUAGCUAGUUGGUGGGGUAAAGGCCUACCAAGGCGACGAUCCGUAACUGGUCUGAGAGGAUGAUCAGUCACACUGGAACUGAGACACGGUCCAGACUCCUACGGGAGGCAGCAGUGGGGAAUAUUGGACAGUGGGCGAAAGCCUGAUCCAGCCAUGCCGCGUGUGUGAAGAAGGUCUUCGGAUUGUAAAGCACUUUAAGUUGGGAGGAAGGGCAGUAAGUUAAUACCUUGCUGUUUUGACGUUACUAACAGAAUAAGCACCGGCUAACUUCGUG